GCGGGUGUGGCGGAAUUGGCAGACGCGCCAGGUUUAGGUCCUGGUGGUUCAUCCCGUGGGGGUUCGAGUCCCUCCACCCGCA
RNAcentral lists this transfer RNA (82 nucleotides) under Candidatus Omnitrophota bacterium. RNAcentral describes it as "Candidatus Omnitrophica bacterium tRNA-Leu". It matches the Rfam family "tRNA". From Rfam's summary of the family: Transfer RNA (tRNA) molecules are approximately 80 nucleotides in length. Their secondary structure includes four short double-helical elements and three loops (D, anti-codon, and T loops). The record is from RNAcentral. Lineage: Bacteria; Pseudomonadati; Candidatus Omnitrophota.